UACGAAGGGGGCUAGCGUUGCUCGGAAUCACUGGGCGUAAAGCGCGCGUAGGCGGGUCUUUAAGUCAGGGGUGAAAUCCCGGAGCUCAACUCCGGAACUGCCUUUGAUACUGGAGAUCUUGAGUCCGGGAGAGGUGAGUGGAACUCCGAGUGUAGAGGUGAAAUUCGUAGAUAUUCGGAAGAACACCAGUGGCGAAGGCGGCUCACUGGCCCGGUACUGACGCUGAGGUGCGAAAGCGUGGGGAGCAAACAGG
RNAcentral lists this ribosomal RNA (253 nucleotides) under uncultured bacterium. RNAcentral describes it as "partial 16S ribosomal RNA". It matches the Rfam family "Bacterial small subunit ribosomal RNA", at positions 524 to 776 of the family's 1533-position model. The record is from RNAcentral.